RNAcentral lists this ribosomal RNA (406 nucleotides) under bacterium enrichment culture clone ALO1_GLFRUDD03FO10P. Its description in RNAcentral is "bacterial SSU rRNA". It matches the Rfam family "Bacterial small subunit ribosomal RNA", at positions 9 to 416 of the family's 1533-position model. The record is from RNAcentral.
GAGUUUGAUCUUGGCUCAGAUUGAACGCUGGCGGCAUGCCUUACACAUGCAAGUCGAACGGCAGCACGGGAGCUUGCUCCUGGUGGCGAGUGGCGAACGGGUGAGUAAUGCAUCGGAACGUAUCCUGGAGUGGGGGAUAACGUAGCGAAAGUUACGCUAAUACCGCAUAUUCUGUGAGCAGGAAAGCGGGGGACCUUCGGGCCUCGCGCUCUUGGAGCGGCCGAUGUCGGAUUAGCUAGUUGGUGAGGUAAAGGCUCACCAAGGCGACGAUCCGUAGCAGGUCUGAGAGGAUGAUCUGCCACACUGGAACUGAGACACGGUCCAGACUCCUACGGAGGCAGCAGUGGGGAAUUUUGGACAAUGGGGGCAACCCUGAUCCAGCCAUGCCGCGUGAGUGAAGAAGGCC